GACGAACGCUGGCGGCGUGCCUAAUACAUGCAAGUCGAGCGCAGGAAAUCGACGGACCCCUUCGGGGGGAAGUCGACGGAAUGAGCGGCGGACGGGUGAGUAACACGUAAAGAACCUGCCCUCAGGUCUGGGAUAACCACGAGAAAUCGGGGCUAAUACCGGAUGGGUCAUCGGACCGCAUGGUCCGAGGAUGAAAGGCGCUUCGGCGUCGCCUGGGGAUGGCUUUGCGGUGCAUUAGCUAGUUGGUGGGGUAAUGGCCCACCAAGGCGACGAUGCAUAGCCGACCUGAGAGGGUGAUCGGCCACACUGGGACUGAGACACGGCCCAGACUCCUACGGGAGGCAGCAGUAGGGAAUCUUCCACAAUGGACGAAAGUCUGAUGGAGCAACGCCGCGUGAACGAUGAAGGCCUUCGGGUCGUAAAGUUCUGUUGUAAGGGAAGAACAAGUGCCGCAGGCAAUGGCGGCACCUUGACGGUACCUUGCGAGAAAGCCACGGCUAACUACGUG
Molecule: ribosomal RNA, 508 nt
Filed under: uncultured bacterium
Lineage: Bacteria
Description: partial 16S ribosomal RNA
Rfam family: Bacterial small subunit ribosomal RNA
Source: RNAcentral